This 2418-nucleotide long non-coding RNA is filed under the name Capsicum annuum. Its description in RNAcentral is "long non-coding RNA (CANN_LNC004557)". The record is from RNAcentral. Lineage: Eukaryota; Viridiplantae; Streptophyta; Magnoliopsida; Solanales; Solanaceae.
UAUUUUAUAAAUUUUAUUUACCUAUUCAAUUUAUACAUAUAAAGAUAAUAAAGUUUUUAUCUUAUCCAAAUCAUAAAAAUUUAAAAAAGCUAUUUUCAUAUCUUGAAAUAUUCAUGUAACAUAUAUACAUAUAAGCGAUGAUUGCAUUAUUUCCUUGUACAUGGUAGCAUCACAUUUGUUAUACCUUAAGUUUUCUUUCUUUUAUAUAAAAUAACAAGUAGAAAAUAGCGAUGAAGGUUUUCUUAUCACUAUUUUUGCAAAUAAAUAAAAGCAAUAUUUUCUUAAACUAAACAUAAGGACUAUCUUCGAAUAGGAUCUGAAGGAUGCCUAACACCUUCCCCUCGAGUAACCAAAACCCUUAUUCAGAAUCUCAAAAUAUUUUCGAUAGACCAAAACAGAGUUUUUUACAUAAAAAAUAGUUUUUCCUAAUUUUCCUAAAAAGUUAGGUGGCGACUCUAAAAAAAUGAAUUUUCAAAACCCAAGAGUCACAUUAAACACAUAGCUACCAUAUGUUGUGUGCUAUUUCAACCGGUUUUAAAUAGGACGCGACAGAGAGUACAUGCAAAUAUUUCAUUACUGAACAUGCUAAACAUGCAAUAUUGUGCAUAUCACGUCUGUUUGAAUUAGACUGAAACUGAGGUAAUGAGUUCUGAUAACUGAAUACUAAUAGCUGAAAGUUUAGACUGAUACUGAAGUACUGAUUUCUUAUGGCUAAGUAACUGAUAACUGAUAGCCAUAGUUCUAUAGAACUGUCUGAGUUGUUUACUGAAUACUGAGACUUAAGCUGUAACUAUGGGAGUGUUCAUGUAACAGACAUACCCUGAUUAUAAACUGAGUUGGGGUCCAACCUGUGACCCCAGUUGGAAGGGUAUUAGUACAUUGCCAAGGAAUACUAACAAUGUUGGGUCAACCCUAAUCUGGCAGGAUGACUCAUAAAAUAUAUAUGAUUGCCUCAACCCUAGUCUGGCAGGAGAACGACUUACCCUAUGCUGUCUAUGUAGUUCUGUAAUGUAGGGACUGCUACUAAGGGUCAAAUCCUCUGUUGGCCGGAAUACCCCUAUCCCAGGGUUUACUCGAUGUUGAAUCAUACUCUUAACUGAAUCGACACUGAAUGAGACUGAAACUAACACUAAUCGUGUUGACUGACUGAACUGGACUGAGUUAACUGCGUUCUAUUACUGACUGAGUACUACUAUUCUUGAACUUUACUGGGACUGUUCUAUAACUACUACAACUAAGUAAACAACUAGAUUUCGGGUAAUAAAUACCCCCAGGACUCGAUAACAUCAAUAAUAAAGUGUGACAACUUUCUCGAUAACAUCAAUAAUAAAGUGUGACAACUUUUGAAAGCAUAGCAAUAGUCAGUUGUUCACAAUUCAUUCAUUGAGGCAUUUAGUCAAACAUUUGGAGGUCAUGAACUUGUACAUGAAUGGAACACAUGCUAACACGUCAUGAUUUCACAAUUCAAUUCACAUGGACAUUCUAUCAAACACGUGGGGAGCAUGAUUGUGAUACAUGAAGAAUAACAUAUAGGGCAUCAUAACUUCAACAUGUAAUCCUGAAAAUUCAAGGGUUUUAUCAUGAGAGAUUCAUAAUUCAACACAUAUGCUAAAAAAAUUUCAUGGAAACUCAUAAAAUAACUUAACUUGAAACCCAUACAACAACACAAACAUGGGCAUAAUUCAAUUCAAAGCAUGGGAAUCAUAAUUUAAGUUUUUGAAAAGGGUUCUUGAACUCCAAGGGUGAAAGGAAACCCAAGGAUAAACUCCUAACAUACCCUGAUUGUUAAUUUUGUGAAGAUUGUGGUGACUUCUUGAGACUUGCUUCUUGAUAUUGAUGAAACUAGCGCUUGCUCCUGAGAGGAUUUUGAGAAUAAAGAAUGUAAUUUGCCCUUUGGGGAGUUAAAUCUUAUGUUUUAUCUUAAUUGGGUUAAGGUAAAAGGACCUAAAUACCCUAAAAACCCCAUAACUUAACACACAAAACUGGCCUAGCAAUGUGACACCCAACACACCGUGUCGAUGGGUGCAACGUGGUAGCCAACGCGACGCAUCAAGAUCGCUUUGGCUUGCUAUUUUGCCCAACCAAAUACGACCCAAACGAAGUUCAAAAAUUUUAAAAAUCACCCAAUAUGACCUAUUGACAUCCCUGACCAUGAAUCAACUUGAAAAUCCACAUUCUAAGUUCGAAAAGGUCUAAAAUAAGAUCAUCCAAUUUUGAAGGCUAAAAAUGUUUUUAAGUCUUAACACUUAGCUGAAUUUUUCUCAGUCUGGGACCCCUUUUGGCAUGCUACAUAGAACUGAAAUAGUUAGAAUUUUGCGGGGUCUUAUAGUUGAUCUGCUAGGUUAUUAUCUUUUCCUUUAAUAUGUUCUAGCACAAUGUUAUAAAUUGAACUGGCGUCGACAAAAUUUAACCACCUCC